Molecule: ribosomal RNA, 629 nt
Filed under: uncultured Bacteroidota bacterium
Lineage: Bacteria; Pseudomonadati; Bacteroidota
Description: bacterial SSU rRNA
Rfam family: Bacterial small subunit ribosomal RNA
Source: RNAcentral
AGAGUUUGAUCAUGGCUCAGGAUGAACGCUAGCGGCAGGCUUAAUACAUGCAAGUCGAACGGUAACAGGUCGAACCUAGUUUGAUGCUGACGAGUGGCGCACGGGUGAGUAACGCGUACACAAUCUGCCUCUAAGUGGGGAAUAGCCUAUGGAAACGUAGAUUAAUACCCCAUGGUAUUACUUAAUCGCAUGAUUUUGUAAUUAAAGUUUCGACGCUUAGAGAUGAGUGUGCGUCCUAUUAGCUAGAUGGUGAGGUAACGGCUUACCAUGGCGAUGAUAGGUAGGGGGCGUGAGAGCGUGGUCCCCCACACGGGUACUGAGACACGGACCCGACUCCUACGGGAGGCAGCAGUAAGGAAUAUUGGACAAUGGGCGAAAGCCUGAUCCAGCCAUGCCGCGUGCAGGAAGACGGCCCUACGGGUUGUAAACUGCUUUUAUAUGAGAAGAACAGCUUUGACUUGUCAGAGUAUGACGGUACCAUAUGAAUAAGCACCGGCUAACUCCGUGCCAGCAGCCGCGGUAAUACGGAGGGUGCAAGCGUUAUCCGGAAUUACUGGGUUUAAAGGGUGCGUAGGCUGCAACGUAAGUCAGAAGUGAAAGCUCUCAGCUUAACUGAGGAAUUGCUUUUG